GACGAACGCUGGCGGCGUGCUUAACACAUGCAAGUCGAACGGAAAGGCCCUGCUUUUGUGGGGUGCUCGAGUGGCGAACGGGUGAGUAACCCGUGAGUAACCUGCCCUUGACUUUGGGAUAACUUCAGGAAACUGGGUCUAAUACCGGAUAGGAGCUCCUGCUGCAUGGUGGGGGUUGGAAAGUUUCGGCGGUUGGGGAUGGACUCGCGGCUUAUCAGCUUGUUGGUGGGGUAGUGGCUUACCAAGGCUUUGACGGGUAGCCGGCCUGGGAGGGUGACCGGCCACAUUGGGACUGGGAUACGGCCCAGACUCCUACGGGAGGCAGCAGUGGGGAAUAUUGCACAAUGGGCGGAAGCCUGAUGCAGCAACGCCGCGUGCGGGAUGACGGCCUUCGGGUUGUAAACCGCUUUCGCCUGUGACGAAGCGUGAGUGACGGUAAUGGGUAAAGAAGCACCGGCUAACUACGUG
RNAcentral lists this ribosomal RNA (468 nucleotides) under uncultured bacterium. RNAcentral describes it as "partial 16S ribosomal RNA". It matches the Rfam family "Bacterial small subunit ribosomal RNA", at positions 28 to 507 of the family's 1533-position model. The record is from RNAcentral.